AAGAUCUAUCAAAACAAAACAAAAAACAACAAGAUAAUCUCAAGAGUUGCACCCAGAAACAAUGACUAAUGUUGAUCCUCGCCAUGGUUUGGAGAACACGCAUGCAGCAGUGGCUAUCAUCUCAUUGCAUCACGGGCAAAGAGUGCAGGUCGUGGGUCUCGGGUUGUGGGUGCAACACGAAGGUCCCGAUGGCGGCACCGGGCCAUGUUGCAGAGACCCCAGCAACAGGCCGCCCUGCUCCCGCCACCACUCGUCUCCCUCCAUUGCCCUCGCCGCCGUGAGAGGCUGCAAGCUGCUCGAAACCAGCAGGAGGAACAGCAACAGCUGCGUGGACGCGGUGGCCAUGGUCGAUCAAAGCAGAGGAUCCAAGAAAGAUGGGUUAUCAGUUCGAGGAUGAAUGAAUGAAGCAAAGGUUGGUGUGC
RNAcentral lists this long non-coding RNA (422 nucleotides) under Musa acuminata (dwarf banana). Its description in RNAcentral is "long non-coding RNA (MACU_LNC006968)". Lineage: Eukaryota; Viridiplantae; Streptophyta; Magnoliopsida; Zingiberales; Musaceae. The record is from RNAcentral.